Triticum dicoccoides is the source of this 1295-nucleotide long non-coding RNA. RefSeq lists it as uncharacterized. Lineage: Eukaryota; Viridiplantae; Streptophyta; Magnoliopsida; Poales; Poaceae. The transcript has 2 exons. The record is from RefSeq and is a predicted model, not a curated record.
GUGUAGUGCAGCUAAUGCCAUGCAUGUGCUAUUCUACCUGGGCAAUGCUAUUUGUUGGACCAAAUGCCUAAUUGUCAACGGUAUUCUGGACAAGGAGGACAAGGCAAGACGCACUGGACAUCUCAAUCUCAUUUUCAUUUUUGAAGUAGACUACCCCUUGGACGGGAAAUUUAAGAGAAUGCCAAGAAAACCGAAGGCUGGCAAGACUUUCAGGAGAUUAAAAUGCAAAGAAUUGGUAAAACAAGGUUAGCUCUUUACAUUUGUACAGGUAGGUAUAUUGUAGGAUGCAGGGUCUACCACUUCAGAAAGAUAAGGUGGUAUUAAAAGCUAAAGCACAUUUGCAACUGAUUUUCUUAAGAAGUGAUGUAGGAAGGAGUUAGAGUAUAUAACUGAAGAUUGUCAUCACAACAAUUGUAGAUGCAGAAACAUGAGGGACUGGGUGUAUGAAUAAGCUUUUUUUUUACCCUCGGUACUAAGCCCAAAUUUUGUCUUGUGAACGGUAAUACAACUCUUUUACAUCCUUCUCUUGAGAAUUUUUGACACAUUGUCACAAGUUGUGACUUAGGCUGCUGUCACGAUGUUGGAUGAACACACAAUAUGGUGAUAAGUGUUGGGUAUAUCACUAAAUUUAGCUAUGGAAUCUGAACUAGCAGAAGUUGUAAGUUGAAUUUUUCCUGGCUAAAAAGUUGCAUUCUAUGCCAGAGCUAGCUUGCAAAGGCCAACAGAAAAUAUAUGAACUUGGCAGUUCCUAAGCUAUGAAUACCGUUUCAGGUUGCAGUGUCAUAUUGUCUAUACUACUCUGGGUAAGGGUGUGGUUGUCGGUAAGAAUGCGCUCACGGUUGUGCACGAGCCAUUCCCACGCUCCGAUCAUUUGGUGCUCCUGAUGUUCCGCCAAAUUAAGGGCCUGCAGACUUGUGUCCUUCGUGCUAUCAAUGAUCAUAUAUGCUUGCAUGGUUCAUGUGGUGGGUGUAAUACAGUGCAAAUUGAGAAUGGACUGUGAGCUUCUAUGCUUCAGAUCCUCUUCUGUGACAUGUAUAUGGUUUCUAUAAUGAUUUGUGACUGGUGUGCUCUUUAUAUUUUCUUCUUCUAUGGACUUUUCGUUGUUUCUUGCUGCCAACAUAUUUGUUCUCUUCCUUUGUAGCCUACAUUUCGUAGUGGAAGAUAUUAUAAUUUUUUAUGACGCACGGCAUGGUGAAGUUAUGACAAAUUUCUUUUACUUGAAUUAUAGUGUUGUAUUAUUUUUCAGCUGAGUACCACAAUCAGAAAUCUCAAUUACUUAUAGAAUUGUUUUUAUU